UACAGAGGGUGCGAGCGUUUAAUCGGAAUUACUGGGCGUAAAGCGUGCGUAGACGGUUUCGUAAGUCGGGUGUGAAAGCCCCGGGCUCAACCUGGGAAUUGCAUUCGAGACUGCGUAGCUAGGGUGCGGAAGAGGGAAGCGGAAUUUCCGGUGUAGCGGUGAAAUGCGUAGAUAUCGGAAGGAACAUCAGUGGCGAAAGCGGCUUCCUGGUCCAGCACCGACGUUCAGGCACGAAAGCGUGGGGAGCAAACAGGG
Molecule: ribosomal RNA, 255 nt
Filed under: uncultured bacterium
Lineage: Bacteria
Description: partial 16S ribosomal RNA
Rfam family: Bacterial small subunit ribosomal RNA
Source: RNAcentral